CAUGUGACGCGCGGCCGCAGCUGCCCGCGGGCGGAGCGCUCUCAGACCCCGGAGCGCACACCGCGGGGCCAUCGGUGCCAUCGCGGAUCUCCAGGCUCCUCAUCAGUCCGCCGGGGCCGCAGCAGCGCUUCUGGGAAGACGGGCGAUGAACUGAAGGGCGGCUCCGGGCAGGGGGGCACGAUCUUAAGGACAGUCGCUCCCUGAACGCGGAGCCGGAGGAGACGAAGGGAAGGUGGAGCGGACGCCACCCGCGCACCGGGCAGGCGCGGAGACCGGCGUGGGACAGCCACCUGGAGCGCAGCUGCCAGAAAGAAGGACUUUGCUGCUUUGGGCCAGGAUCUGAACUUAGGUGUAAACCAUUGCCCUGGCAGAGGGAACCUACCCAGUCCAUUGCUGCCUGCUACAAGAUAUGAACAGUAAUGGCACAUAUUUUGGUUAUGAGUCACUCAGAGGACUGUGGAUUGAAUGAACUGUAUCCAUCCCCAUCAUGAUGUACAGAACCAAGUCUCUUCACUAUGUACAGUGUACUUGACCAGAGGAUUCAUGAGGGGCAGUAUUGUAGUACGCAGAGUGCGGAAGCAGAGAAGAGAGUCCAGCUGUUUGUUCGUUAAGCCAGAUAUGGAAGAGAUUUGCAAAAAAUGUAAAUCAUGUCACAUUUUACUAAUUUUGUCUUAGAAUAUGUGUUAUUUUCAUUAAAAGAUACUGUUUAAUUAUGCUAA
Molecule: long non-coding RNA, 719 nt
Filed under: Homo sapiens (human)
Lineage: Eukaryota; Metazoa; Chordata; Mammalia; Primates; Hominidae
Description: non-protein coding lnc-CHRM3-1:4
Source: RNAcentral